Dioscorea cayenensis subsp. rotundata (Guinea yam) is the source of this 107-nucleotide small nucleolar RNA. The record is from RefSeq and is a predicted model, not a curated record. Lineage: Eukaryota; Viridiplantae; Streptophyta; Magnoliopsida; Dioscoreales; Dioscoreaceae.
AAACCAUACUGUGGGCACUUCCGCAAGAGGUCUUUGAAUCGCUCCCAUAUCUCAAACAAGGAUUCAAGCUCCAUAUGAACAAACAACGACAUUUUAUUACGAAGCUU